ACAGUCUGCGCUCCCUCUCACUCUUCAUCAGAUACUGAGAGUGAUGGAGGAUUUUGGCCGUCACACUGACCUCUGCAAGCAGUGUCAGUCAGUCUUUAUGAUCCGUCAGACACCACUGAUACCAACAACUUUGUCCACGUCAGUAAGAGAGAUGCACGAGAGAAUUACAGUAACCUGGAAGACCUCAGGCGCAGACACAAGGAGGGGCACCCAACCCAGAAGAACAGGCCAAGGAGAAGAGGAGGAUGGAGCAACAGCGUCUAUGAGAGGGGAUCACACGCACCAGUGCUGAGACUGUGUGGAGCAGAGGAAUACAUCCAAAAUAAACCACUUCAGCAGGCAGAACUAGAAGCACAGCAAAGAUGACAUGAGGAGGAGUUGGAAAUCACCAAACUGUGGGCUCAGCAAGAAACUACAAGGAAGCUGUGAACAAAAGGAACAAGAGGAGAAGCAGCAUCAGGGACCAAUGCAGCAUGCAGAGGCCACGCGACAACAGAUGAAGGAGCAAGAGGUCUUAGUCGACACAAAGAGAUCUGCGAGGAGGCCAACCGGUUAAACGAGGAAGCUCUGCGGUGACAUUUGAA
Molecule: long non-coding RNA, 584 nt
Organism: Archocentrus centrarchus (flier cichlid)
Lineage: Eukaryota; Metazoa; Chordata; Actinopteri; Cichliformes; Cichlidae
Exons: 5
Source: RefSeq, a predicted model, not a curated record